This is a long non-coding RNA of Cervus elaphus (red deer), 2110 nucleotides long. RefSeq lists it as uncharacterized. Lineage: Eukaryota; Metazoa; Chordata; Mammalia; Artiodactyla; Cervidae. The transcript has 3 exons. The record is from RefSeq and is a predicted model, not a curated record.
AAAUUAGUUCUUCAUUUUGUCAUUUUUUCACUUGCAUCUUGGGGUACAUCAUUACAGGUAAAUUCCCGAGUCAGCUGUCUUCUGUUAUAUUUCUCAUUUACACAUGGAUGCUGUUAGGCACUAGGCUAUUAAAGUGAAAUGGCAAAUUACUCCCUUAGCUUAGUUCUUAGUAAACACACCACACCAUCUCCUUCUCUGGUCUCCAUAGUCAGCCUCAGAAGUGGGCAAGUUAAGCAACUACCUACUUACAGAUUUGGAAGAUGACAAAGGGUCUCUACCUAAAAAUGCCUUCCCUCACCUGUAAUUCUGAUUCUUCACACUCCCCAACAGCCUCCUUGAAAAGAGAUAUCCUUUCCAACUGGCUUUAGGUAUGAGGUUACCUGAGAAGGAUUAUUUAUUAGCUAAUUAGCCUGUCACAGAAACCCCACCUGCUUCCAAUAUCACCCAGAAUAGCAGAAGGUCCCAAAAGAAUGACACCCAGGCUGAUAUGAUUUGAUGAUUAAGGGAGCGAGUGGAGGAGAUGAAAGUGGAGUUAGAAAUUAAAGGAAGGAGAGGACUUCCCUGGUGGUCCAGGGGUUAAGAAUCUGCCUACCAAUGCAGAGCACACAGUUCAAUCCCUGCUCCAGGAAGAUCCCACAUGCUGCAGAGCAACUAAACCUGCAAGCUGCAACUACUGAAGCCUCUGUGCCCUAGACCCUGUGUCCCACAACAAGACAAGCCACCAUGAUGAGAAACCCAUGCACUGCAACCAAGAGUAGCCCCAGAGUCCAAGCACAGCAGCAGAGACCCAGUGCAACCAAAAAUAAGUAAAAGAAUUAAGGGAAGGAAAGACCCAGAAUCUCAGCACCAUUAAGAACUGCAGAACCUUUGGGCAGCCUACGGACUUAAAGACAUACACACCUCUAAGAGAAAUUUUUUAAAAGCGGGAGUUAGUGUUUAAUGAGUACAGAGUUUCAGCCAGGGAAAAUGAAAAAGUUCUAGAGAUGGAUGGUGAUGGUGGUUGCUUAAGAAUGUGAAUCCACAAAACUGUGGAUUUUAAAGUGGUUAAAAUGGUAAGUUGUAUGAUGUGUAUCCUAUAAAUACUUUCGAGACAAUCUGUGAGGGAAAUGAAGGCAGUCAAGGCUGUUGUCACCAAUCCUUUGCCUUAGGUAAUAUAGUAGUCAGCCUUCAAGCUGGCUCCAAUGAUCCUCACCUCCUAGUAUCCAUCCUUUCGUGUUGUCCCCUCCCACACUGGGUUGGGCUGACAUGAGUAACCAUAGGACACAGCAGAGACGACCCCAGAAAUGAUCUUCCCAGGCUAGGUCCUAAAGGGUAUUGCAACAUCUAACUGAUUUCUCUCUUGGAUCUCUUGCUCUGGAGAGAGUGAGCUGCCAUGUUCUGAGGACGUGCAAGCGGUAUAUGGAGAGGUCCAGGGAUGAGAAACUAAUGCCGCAUCCAACAGCCAGCAUGAACUUGCCAACCAAGUGAGGAGCCACCUUGGAAGCAGGCUUCCAGCAGCCCCAGUCAACAUCUGUACUGCAACCUCAUGACACAAAGCCAGAACCACCCAGCUAAGCUGCUUCCAAAUCCCUGGCCCACAGGAAUGAGAGUUUUUCAGCCCAAGCUUGACGAGCUGUGGAACCGUCUCCAGUUUCUCCAACAGUCUGGCCAGACUGGCUCGUACAUCACCACACCAGGGCAGCAUCAGAGCAGUCAGCUCUUCUAAGACGUGCAGCCUGUCAACUUGAAGAACCAGGGAGCAGUUUCAGAAACUGGAUCCAUCUCAAAAUUGAUAAAGGAUGAAGGGACGUGAGAGAAGGAAUGACUAUUAUCUCUGAAGCCUGCUCAGUGUGCAAUAAGAAUUUACUUGUUUUUUUGUUAACAUUUUUAUGGGAAGUGUUCAAGAAUAUACAAAAAUAUAUAAAACUAAUAUGCCAACUUUCAACAAACACCAAAUCAUGGAUAAUCUUGCUUCAUUGUCAUUAAAUCCUUCCCUUCUAUAUUAUUUUGAAGCAAAUCUCAGACAAUGAUUUUCAGAUAAAUCAAGAAUGCUCAGUCUGGCCAAGUUAUGAAGAUUCUGAGCUGGAAAAAAGAAAUUUCAAUCCAAAACAAGACUAUAAAUGCAUUUAAA